RNAcentral lists this ribosomal RNA (465 nucleotides) under Vreelandella stevensii. Its description in RNAcentral is "partial 16S ribosomal RNA". It matches the Rfam family "Bacterial small subunit ribosomal RNA", at positions 338 to 795 of the family's 1533-position model. Lineage: Bacteria; Pseudomonadati; Pseudomonadota; Gammaproteobacteria; Oceanospirillales; Halomonadaceae. The record is from RNAcentral.
CCUACGGGGUGCAGCAGUGGGGAAUAUUGGACAAUGGGCGAAAGCCUGAUCCAGCCAUGCCGCGUGUGUGAAGAAGGCCUUCGGGUUGUAAAGCACUUUCAGUGGGGAAGAAAGCCUUGGGGCUAAUACCCUCGAGGAAGGACAUCACCCACAGAAGAAGCACCGGCUAACUCCGUGCCAGCAGCCGCGGUAAUACGGAGGGUGCGAGCGUUAAUCGGAAUUACUGGGCGUAAAGCGCGCGUAGGCGGUCUGAUAAGCCGGUUGUGAAAGCCCCGGGCUCAACCUGGGAACGGCAUCCGGAACUGUCGGGCUAGAGUGCAGGAGAGGAAGGUAGAAUUCCCGGUGUAGCGGUGAAAUGCGUAGAGAUCGGGAGGAAUACCAGUGGCGAAGGCGGCCUUCUGGACUGACACUGACGCUGAGGUGCGAAAGCGUGGGUAGCAAACAGGAUUAGAUACCCCAGUAGUC